RNAcentral lists this long non-coding RNA (212 nucleotides) under Elaeis guineensis (African oil palm). Its description in RNAcentral is "long non-coding RNA (EGUI_LNC005267)". Lineage: Eukaryota; Viridiplantae; Streptophyta; Magnoliopsida; Arecales; Arecaceae. The record is from RNAcentral.
AUAGAAAUGUAUUUUAUUUACAGUGCAUACAUAACAGUGGAUGGUAUAAACCAGCGUCCGACAGGCUCUCAGUGUUGAUGUGGAGCUCAGAAGAUGCCUAAAAUUGCAAUUAAGCCUGCUUGACACCUGCUAUCUUAUGUGUACUGUAUUAAUCCUUCGACUGACACAUAAGAGUAAUGAUCAGGAGCAAUGCUCAAGAAGAAUGUGCAGAG